CUUUUCCCUUCGGGGACANNGGUGACAGGUGGUGCAUGGUUGUCGUCAGCUCGUGUCGUGAGAUGUUGGGUUAAGUCCCGCAACGAGCGCAACCCUUAUCCUUAGUUGCCAGCAUUCAGUUGGGCACUCUANGGAGACUGCCGGUGACAAACCGGAGGAAGGUGGGGAUGACGUCAAAUCAUCAUGCCCCUUAUGAGUUGGGCUACACACGNGCUACAAUGGACGGUACAAAGGGCAGCGANACCGCGAGGUGGAGCCAAUCCCANAAAGCCGUUCNCAGUUCGGAUUGCAGGCUGCAACUCGCCUGCAUGAAGUCGGAAUCGCUAGUAAUCGCAGGUCAGCAUACUGCGGUGAAUACGUUCCCGGGUCUUGUACACACCGCCCGUCACACCACGAGAGUUUGCAACACCCGAAGCCGGUGAGUAACC
RNAcentral lists this ribosomal RNA (428 nucleotides) under uncultured Exiguobacterium sp. RNAcentral describes it as "bacterial SSU rRNA". It matches the Rfam family "Bacterial small subunit ribosomal RNA", at positions 1011 to 1439 of the family's 1533-position model. The record is from RNAcentral. Lineage: Bacteria; Bacillati; Bacillota; Bacilli; Caryophanales.